AACGAACGCUGGCGGCAUGCCUAACACAUGCAAGUCGAACGAGACCUUCGGGUCUAGUGGCGCACGGGUGCGUAACGCGUGGGAAUCUGCCCUUGGGUUCGGAAUAACAGUUGGAAACGACUGCUAAUACCGGAUGAUGACGUAAGUCCAAAGAUUUAUCGCCCAAGGAUGAGCCCGCGUAGGAUUAGCUAGUUGGUGAGGUAAAGGCUCACCAAGGCGACGAUCCUUAGCUGGUCUGUGAGGAUGAUCAGCCACACUGGGACUGAGACACGGCCCAGACUCCUACGGGAGGCAGCAGUGGGGAAUAUUGGACAGUGGGCGAAAGCCUGAUCCAGCACUGCCGCGUGAGUGAUGAAGGCCUUAGGGUUGUAAAGCUCUUUUACCCGGGAUGAUAAUGACAGUACCGGUAGAAUAAGCUCCGGCUACCUCCGU
This 432-nucleotide ribosomal RNA is filed under the name uncultured bacterium. RNAcentral's name for it is "partial 16S ribosomal RNA". It matches the Rfam family "Bacterial small subunit ribosomal RNA", at positions 29 to 506 of the family's 1533-position model. The record is from RNAcentral.